AUGCCUCGCUCCCGUCGACGUCGACCCGGAAGCUGUCGCCGGCGGCCGGCCGGCGGUCAGCCUUAACACAGGCCCGGCCGCGGAGCGCGGUCGCCCAGGUUUGCGGCGGCAGCGGGCCGAGGCCAGCGGAGAGGACCUGGAUGAGCCCACUUCAGGUCGGGGCUGAGUGUGGGCGCGCGGUUCCCGGCGGCGUGUGACCCAGUCUCUGCCGGCCGCUGCCCUCUGCGUGUGUAAGUGUCCGUGGGCCCCAGGGCCCUGCACCGCCCGCCCCGAGGCCGCGAAGAGGCCUUCCGCCUGGGGCAGUAUGAAGGCCGCAGAGUUUUCCUCCACAGCCGCACCUCGGCUGGAAGGGGCGAGUUCGAGGGCUCUGUUACUGUUAGCAAUGGGGAGACGCGGAGCUGCCGCCGUCGCUUUGCAGUGCCUGUAGGACUUUGAGGGCCCGGAGCCCCGGUUCCCGGAAGAACACCCAGAUCGCCCCAUAUGAGACACAGUUCAUGCCCCCCUUCCCGAACUCUGAAGUAAAAUCUUGAGGGCUGUCAUCUGGGGAAGCCACCUUGUGCAUUCAGCCAUGAAGACAGAAACAGUACCACCGUUCCAGGAGACUCCCGCUGGAUCCAGCUGUCACCUCAAUAAGCUGUUGAGUAGCCGGAAGCUGAUGGCUGUGGGGGUCUUGCUUGGCUGGCUCCUGGUCAUGCACCUGCUGGUCAAUGUGUGGCUGCUGUGCCUUCUGUCUGCAGUGCUAGUGGUGCUGGGAGGAUGGCUGGGCUCCAGCGUCGCUGGAGCAGCUUCGGGUCGACUGCAUCUGGAACGCUUCAUCCCACUGGCCACCUGUCCUCCAUGCCCUGAGGCAGAAAGGCAGCUGGAACAGGAGAUCAACCGCACCAUCCAGAUGAUUAUUCGAGAUUUUGUGUUAUCCUGGUACCGUUCCGUGAGCCAGGAGCCAGCCUUUGAGGAGGAAAUGGAGGCAGCCAUGAAAGGGUUGGUCCAGGAGCUUCGGAGAAGGAUGAGCAUGAUGGACUGUCGUGCUCUUGCCCAGAGUGUUCUGACGCUCUGCGGUUGUCACCUGCAGAGCUACAUUCAGGCAAAGGAGGCCACUGCAGGGAAGAAGGGUCCAGUUGAGCCUUCCCACCUCUGGGAGGCUUACUGCCGGGCUACUGCCCCACAUCCUGCUGUGCACAGCCCCAGUGCUGAAGUCACCCAUACACGUGGCGUUGUGACUUUGUUGCUUCAAGGGCUGGUGCCCAAGCCCCACUUGGAGACUCGUACCGGACGCCAUGUAGUGGUCGAACUCAUCACAUGCAAUGUAAUCUUACCACUGAUCAGCAGGCUGUCAGAUCCUGACUGGAUCCACCUUGUGCUCGUGGGUAUCUUUUCCAAGGCCAGAGAUCCAGCACCUUGCCCAGCCAGUGCCCCCGAACAGCCCUCAGUGCCCACAUCUCUGCCACUGAUUGCUGAGGUAGAGCAGCUUCCAGAAGGGAGAACUUCUCCAGUAGCAGCCCCAGUAUUUCUAAGUUACAGUGAGCCAGAGGGUCCUGCAGGCCCCUCCCCAGAGGUUGAAGAAGGCCAUGAAGCUGUAGAGGGAGAUUUGAGUGGGAUGUGUGAAGAAAGAAAAGUGGGAAACAACUCAUCUCAUUUCCUACAGCCAAAUCUUCGAGGUCCCCUGUUCUUAUGUGAAGACUCAGAGCUGGAGUCUCCGCUGUCUGAACUGGGCAAAGAAACCAUCAUGCUCAUGACUCCAGGCAACUUUCUCUCUGACAGGAUUCAGGAUGCCCUGUGUGCCUUAGAGGGUUCCCAGGCUCUGGAACCCAAAGAUGGUGAGGCAUCUGAAGGAGCAGAGGCUGAGGAGGGUCCAGGGACAGAAACAGAGACAGGCCUGCCGGUCUCCACACUGAAUUCCUACCCAGAGAUCCAGAUCGACACAGCAGACAAGGAGAUAGAACAAGGAGAUGUUACCACCUCUGUUACAGCUUUGCUGGAAGGGCCAGAAAAGACCUGCCCGUCGCGGCCCUCAUGCUUAGAGAAGGAUCUCACCCGUGAUGUGAGCUCCCUUGAGCCUACUCUGCCACCAGUUCUGCUUUCCUCCUCUCCACCUGGUCCUCUCAGCUCAGCCCCCUUCAGCUUUGAGCCCCUAACCAGUCCAGAUGGCCCAGUUAUCAUCCAGAACCUUCGUAUCACUGGCACCAUUACAGCCCGAGAGCACAGUGGCACUGGAUUCCACCCAUACACACUCUAUACUGUGAAGUACGAGACAGCCCUUGAUGGUGAAAACAGCAGCGGCCUGCAGCAGCUGGCCUACCACACUGUGAAUCGUCGCUAUCGAGAGUUCUUGAAUCUGCAGACCCGACUGGAGGAGAAACCAGAUCUACGAAAGUUCAUCAAAAAUGUGAAAGGUCCUAAAAAGCUCUUUCCAGAUCUUCCAUUUGGAAAUAUGGACAGUGACAGAGUAGAAGCCCGUAAGAGCCUCCUAGAAUCAUUCCUAAAGCAACUCUGUGCCAUUCCGGAGAUCGCUAACAGUGAGGAGGUGCAGGAGUUCCUUGCUCUGAACACAGAUGCUCGUAUUGCCUUUGUCAAGAAACCACUUAUGGUCUCUAGAAUAGACAAGAUGGUGGUGAGUGCCAUUGUGGACACCUUGAAGACAGCGUUUCCUCGCUCUGAACCCCAGAGUCCCACAGAGGAGCUGAGUGAGGCCGAGACUGAAAGCAAGUCCCAGACAGAAGGCAAGAAGGCUGGCAAGUCCAGGCUGAGGUUCUCAUCCAGUAAAAUUUCGCCAGCACUAAGUGUGACUGAAGCACAAGACAAGAUUCUUUAUUGUCUCCAGGAAGGCAAUGUGGAGUCCGAGACCCUAUCCAUGUCUGCGAUGGAAUCUUUUGUUGAAAAACAGACAAAGUUACUGGAAAUGCAGCCAACAAAAGCCCCAGAAAAAGAUCCUGAACAGCCCCCUAAAGGACAUGUGGACAGUUGCUUGUCAGAUGCAGCUGUGCCAGCCCAAGACCCCAGCAACAGCGAUCCAGGAACAGAGACAGAGUUAGCUGACACAGCCCUAGAUCUGCUCCUCUUGCUACUAACAGAACAGUGGAAAUGGCUGUGUACCGAAAACAUGCAGAAGUGUCUUCGUCUUAUCUUUGGGACCCUAGUUCAAAGGUGGCUAGAGGUGCAGGUAGCUCAUUUAACAAGUCCACAGCACUGGGUGCAGUACCUCAGGCUUCUUCAGGAGUCCAUCUGGCCUGGUGGAGUUUUGCCUAAGUUUCCACGGCCUGUAAGGACCCAGGAGCAGAAACUGGCUGCUGAGAAACAGGCUUUGCAGAGCCUCAUGGGAGUCCUCCCAGAUCUCGUAGUAGAAAUUCUUGGGGUGAACAAAUGCCGGGUGAGCUGGGGUCUAGUCUUGGAGUCACUACAACAACCGCUCAUCAACAGGCAUUUGAUUUACUGUCUUGGGGACAUCAUCCUGGAAUUCUUGGAUCUCAGUGCCUCUGUUGAGAAGUCUGCUGCUACCACCUCUGCCUCAGAUACCCCAGGCAACUCUAAGAGGAUGGGUGUCUCCUCUUAGCUGGUUAUUCACGCUUUCUUCCAAGUUCAGGGAAGUAGUUACUCGGCCACCAAAGACCAUUCAGGAAGCCUGUGCCCUCUUGAAAUAGGCUACAGCUAAGAAGGCCUAGGUUCUCAGUGGCUCACUUCCCUCCCACUUCUGCUCCAUUUGUAGCAGGUGACAGGGGUAUGUGUGUCCCAGUUGCAUGCACAUUUAUUUCCAUGUUUCUUUUGGAACACUGGGAUUGUUGCUGGUGAGUAGAUCCUGUUUCCUUUGGGAAAAGAAGCUGUGAGGUAGAGGAAUGAGCCCCUUUUGCUUCUCCUUUUGCCAUCCUCCCUGAGAUUGUUUGCCAGAAUCCUGGCCCUGUGCACACAUGUGCUUAAUCCACCAGCACACAAGCUCUGGAUAGAACAGGAAAAAAACUGUGGCCAGAUUUCCUUGGAGGAGAAAACAACCUUCUGAGCUCUCUGUUCCUAACCGGAAACUAAAAAUUCAUUCAGGGCCAUUCUCACAAACCAGACUCCUGGGUCUAAUCUAGUUUCCCAACAGUUCCAGAAGAAGAAGGAGGGAAGAAAAUUUUUCAAGGAACCUCUUGCUCAUGUGUUGCUGUUUCCCAACACAUCAGCCUUGUGGAAGAUGUCAUGAGGUUGCUUCCCCGGGAGGCUACACUUUUCCUUUCCAGAAGACUCAAAACUGACUGCCAAAGCUUCUGGUAAAUCCACCCCACCCUUUACACCCUUUCCUGAAAGGCAUUUGUACCACACAUUUUAUUUAUUGGCUUUUCUCCCAACCCUCUGCCCUAGAGCAAUUGAGUUUUUGAAUUGAUGACCCUCUCUAUAUCUUCAGCAAAAUUGCAUGACAAGCUGCAUAUCCAGCCUCAGUUUUUCCAAGGAGAAGGUCAGCUGUGUCCUCAGACUGCCUGCCUUCCUGGUGCUGUAGUUUCAGGCAUCACUCCCAGAGAUAACAUUCAUAAAAGAACAGGAGCAUCUCUUCUGUGUUUUCUUCUAAGGAAUAAAGGAACCAUUUCCCAGAAGUCCUUCAAGAGUCCUCUUCUAGGCCGGGCACAGUGGCUCACACCUACAAUCUCAACACUUUGGGAGGCCAAGGAACCCAUUCAGCCAAGCUGUCCUGGCAAGCCGUACCUCCCACCGCUCCGUCCACACCGGCUGUUGGUCCAAUCUAACUUUGCACCGGAGCAAGAUGUGUUUUCCCAAGAUGAGGAGAGGAAGGUUAGCCCACGCUGCUGGAUGUGGAAGGGAAUGGGAACCAAGGAAAGAAUGGUAACUGGGGAGGAAGGGAAACCAUGAUACUUUUGUAGUUGAAGGCCUAACUGGGCGUGCUUUGCCAUAACUUGGCCCCUCUGCCUCCUUUCCACUGGGAGUGCCAGAAAUCGCAGGGCAGCAGUCACUCACCCUGCCUUUGUAGACAAGAAAAUGAAACCAUCAAAGGGUGAAGUUCAGCUAGCCUAUUGCCAUCAGUCUUUUAUGGUAUAAAGGAUGAGAGAGGCCGUGAGGGAGACAUUGCCCCAAACAUGAUGUCCACAUCCUAAGACUUGCCUGAUAUUUCGUAUUACACAAAGACGACAUUGACUGGUUUAAGAGAAAAAAAAAAAAAAGGAAAUCCAGAAGAAUGUGUUAAUUGUCAAGCAUGAAACAAGUGAAAAUCAUCAGAAUCUUUUUCGUUCUGUGACUUGGUGGCAACAGUCUGUAAAGCCAAGGCCACCGUGCAGUGGUAGGGGAAAUUUGGGCACCCGCAGUCACCUUGGCAGACUCAUGAUGCUAUUUUCAGACUUGUGGAGCCUUGCGCUGCCUCCCUGUCACCCUCACCUGUCUCUGGUCUGAAAGUCCAUUUUAACUCUGCUUUCUUGGAGGCAGGAACAAGCAUGUGACAGGCUGCAGAGAAUUACUCCUGGCUUUGAUGUCUCUUCACCAGCUUGACAGAACCUGGUUUCUCCACCUGUCUUUACUCUCUAAGCCUUACCUGCAAGCACUUCCAUGGAAGCCACCAGCACACCAUCUCUGGGAUGCAGAAGGUUAGGAGGGAAGAAUUGAAAAAACAAAACGAAGGUGACAGUAUCAAGAUCCAAACUUAGAAAACAUUUCUUGAAGUGACAUUAUCUGCUCCUUUUAACCCCAUCCCUUUGUCACCAGUCAGUGUUUGUUUAGGAAGUGUAAGCUAAUUUUAAUAUUAAAAUGUUGUAGUGAUUAAGAAGGUAAGUUUGUGAAUAAUGUAUGAAUCAUCCACACUUUUGUCUUUUUUCCCACCUUAUGUUCCGUGCUGCACCCUGUUAUAAGCAGAGUUGACUGUGAUUGCUUCCAGAAACUUUGAUUAAUCCAUGAGAGUAAAGACCUAGCUCGAUAAACACAGAAGUCCCUGAUUGCAGACAAAAGGACUCAAAUAUCAACAGAAGCAAUGAUUUGUUUAUACUGUGUUCAACUGGAUGUGGUGACUUGUGAGCAUAGGUAAUCAGCCCUUUUGCCCGCACCCCUGGGUGAAAAAUCAUUCUACUCCUGUAACUAUCAAAAAGAUUAACCAUGAAUGUUGGUAUGAAAUAUCUGCUUUUCAUGCCUUGACACUAAGGAGACUAGACCUUAUUAAGGGAGGAAAAACACUUUUGGAGUUUACCUCCUUUACACAUGCUGCUUGCAUGGAAUCCAAAUUCAGUGAGCUGUCGGCAGGCCAGUUCCUUGCCACUUUGUAAAGUUUACCCUCUGUUAUCUAUAAAUGCAAGUGGCUUUUUCAAGAAUAGCAAGGGCAGCUUUCAUUAAGGACUCGUGCAUCUCUAGGAGAAUCAUAUGGGCUUGGUUGGCAGUAGAACAUUUUCUUGGGGACAAAAUGUAUUAUAGAUGAUUUAGGCAGGAGGUUAGAUGAGAAAGUUCCACAAAAAUCUAGGGAUUUUUUAUUCUGCCCAAACCACCAUGUUCCUUCCUGCUUUCAUUUUUUUUGUUCAUGCCCUUCCUUCCACGUGGUAGAUUACCUUUUCUCCUCUGGCUGGGCAGGUAGACUACCUCUGCCCAUAAGCACCAGUUCAAGUUCCCUUUUCAAGAAGCACUGUCUGAUUGCACCAGCCAAAACUCUCCCCACUUUCUUUUUAGUUAUUUACACUGCCUCUCUAGUCAAUGUGCAUGUAUAUGAAGUCCUCAGUAAGAGAUUAUAAUUCUUCAAGGGCAACAAACAUAACUUUUAUCUUUUUUAGUCCCAUUAUGUCCUUAUGCCCCCCAACUAUAUGUAGAUACCUAGUGCACGAUAGGUACAAAAUAAAUAUUAAAGUUUACUUAAUUAAAGAUUGUUUAUUUAAGAGGCAAAUUUUGUGAAUAAGUCUGGAUCUUGAUACUGUUCCUUUCAUUUUGUUUAUUCCUUUCUCCCGACCUUCCACAUCCCAAAGAUAGUGUGCUGGUGACUUUUGUGGAAAUGCUUGCAGAACCCAAGAACAAGUUUUCUGGAUCACAUAGGCUCCUCUGCUGCUUCCUCAGAAACAGAGAAGGUACUUGGUGCUGAAGAAAGAGAAAGAGACAGAGACUGGGAAGGAGAAGGAAGUCGGCAGAAAGAAGAAAGAGGCACAAGAAAGAGAGAAGGGGAGCUAAAAGCAAGAGUGCAAAUGUGACCGAGGAACUUGGGUUUUACAUUUAUUGCCUGAGUCUGGUUUUCUUGAGUUUCAGGGUUUUCUGACCUUUGGACUCAGAUUGAAUCAUACCACCAGCUUCUCUGGUUCUCCAGCCUACAGACAAGCUUGUCAUGGGACUCCUCAGCCUUCAGAAUUGUGUGAGCCAAUUCCCAUGGGUAUCCAGCAGCCAGAAGGACUCAUAAAAAUGAUAAUGGAGAGUGACAUCAGCAAAAUGGCACACUGGGGAGUAUCAAGCCUUGUUCCCUGACAGAGACACAACAACAACAACAAAAACCAAGCAAACAAACAAAAAACCAAAAUCAGGAUAAAGUAUUCUUAUAUGAGCUAUGAAAAACCGUCAAAGAUCUAUAGCAGUCAAGAAAAUGCCCAAUCAAAAAUAAGUAAAAUUUAAAAUGGUA
This is an RNA transcript of Rhinopithecus roxellana (golden snub-nosed monkey), 7549 nucleotides long. It is a transcript of the gene named sorting nexin 19, with no coding region annotated. The transcript has 17 exons. The record is from RefSeq and is a predicted model, not a curated record. NCBI's taxonomy places the organism in Eukaryota, Metazoa, Chordata, Mammalia, Primates, Cercopithecidae.